Molecule: transfer RNA, 72 nt
Filed under: Paravannella minima
Lineage: Eukaryota; Discosea; Flabellinia; Vannellidae
Description: tRNA-Val
Rfam family: tRNA
About the family: Transfer RNA (tRNA) molecules are approximately 80 nucleotides in length.
Source: RNAcentral
AGGUAUUUAGCUUAGAGGCAAAGCAUCUUGCUUACAACAAGAGGAUCAUUGGUUCAAAUCCAUUAAUACCUA